CACGUAGGGCGCAAGCGUUGUCCGGAAUUAUUGGGCGUAAAGAGCUCGUAGGCGGUCUGUUACGUCUGCUGUGAAAACCCAGGGCUUAACCCUUGGCUUGCAGUGGAUACGGGCAGACUAGAGGUAGGUAGGGGAGAAUGGAAUUCCCGGUGUAGCAGUGAAAUGCGUAGAUAUCGGGAGGAACACCGGUGGCGAAGGCGGAUCUCUGGGCCGAUACUGACGCUGAGGAGCGAAAGCGUGGGGAGCGAACAGG
RNAcentral lists this ribosomal RNA (253 nucleotides) under uncultured bacterium. RNAcentral's name for it is "partial 16S ribosomal RNA". It matches the Rfam family "Bacterial small subunit ribosomal RNA", at positions 524 to 776 of the family's 1533-position model. The record is from RNAcentral.